AUUGAACGCUGGCGGCAUGCUUUACACAUGCAAGUCGAACGGUAACAGGCCUUCGGGCGCUGACGAGUGGCGAACGGGUGAGUAAUGCAUCGGAACGUGCCCAGUCGUGGGGGAUAACUACUCGAAAGAGUGGCUAAUACCGCAUACGAUCUGCGGAUGAAAGCGGGGGACCUUCGGGCCUCGCGCGAUUGGAGCGGCCGAUGUCAGAUUAGGUAGUUGGUGGGGUAAAGGCUCACCAAGCCAACGAUCUGUAGCUGGUCUGAGAGGACGACCAGCCACACUGGGACUGAGACACGGCCCAGACUCCUACGGGAGGCAGCAGUGGGGGAAUUUUGGACAAUGGGCGCAAGCCUGAUCCAGCAAUGCCGCGUGCAGGAAGAAGGCCUCGGUU
This 391-nucleotide ribosomal RNA is filed under the name uncultured bacterium. Its description in RNAcentral is "bacterial SSU rRNA". It matches the Rfam family "Bacterial small subunit ribosomal RNA", at positions 30 to 424 of the family's 1533-position model. The record is from RNAcentral.